UAGGGAAUAUUGGGCAAUGGCCGAGAGGCUGACCCAGCCAUGCCGCGUGCAGGAAGAAGGCCUUCUGGGUUGUAAACUGCUUUUGUCCGGGAAGAAAACGCCCCUGCGGGGGUAACUGACGGUACCAGACGAAUAAGCACCGGCUAACUCCGUGCCAGCAGCCGCGGUAAUACGGAGGGUGCAAGCGUUGUCCGGAUUUAUUGGGUUUAAAGGGUGCGUAGGCGGCCCGUUAAGUCAGCGGUGAAAUCCCGGGGCUCAACCCCGGAACUGCCGUUGAUACUGGCGGGCUUGAGUUCGGUCGAGGCGGGCGGAACUGGUGGUGUAGCGGUGAAAUGCAUAGAUACCACCAAGAACCCCGAUUGCGAAGGCAGCUCGCUGGGCCGAAACUGACGCUGAGGCACGAAAGCGUGGGGAGCGAACAGGAUUAGAUACCCUGGUAGUCCACGCCGUAAACGAUGAUCACUCGAUGUUUGCGAUACACGGCAAGCGUCCAAGCGAAAGCGUUAAGUGAUCCACCUGGGGAGUACGCCCCCAAGGGUG
Molecule: ribosomal RNA, 540 nt
Filed under: uncultured bacterium
Lineage: Bacteria
Description: bacterial SSU rRNA
Rfam family: Bacterial small subunit ribosomal RNA
Source: RNAcentral